This is a long non-coding RNA of Clupea harengus (Atlantic herring), 1357 nucleotides long. RefSeq lists it as uncharacterized. The transcript is spliced from 4 exons. NCBI's taxonomy places the organism in Eukaryota, Metazoa, Chordata, Actinopteri, Clupeiformes, Clupeidae. The record is from RefSeq and is a predicted model, not a curated record.
UCCUCUCUUUCAUCUCCUUCACCUGUCUUUUGUUCCUUCCUUCCCUUUUUCCUUUUGAGCUCUUUAUCGAUUUGGACUGAGUUUUUGUCAUGAGGGUGCAAUUUGCAUAGGUCCAUAAAUAAAGCAAAGUGAUUUUUAAUCAAUGAAAUCAGUGCAGUGUUUGAAAAUUGAUUGCCAUAGCUAUACAAAUUAGUGCUGUCAAUCAAUGAAAUAGAAGAAACCAAUUCAAAAUGAUUCUUAUAAUAAUGAUGUAAAAUCACAGAAUGAAUGUAGAAUCAACACAAAUUAAGUAUAUUUAUAUUCAAAUACUAUUGUUUAAUAGUAUCUUUUGAACUUUGAACACAAGAUUUCUCCUGUUAACUACAGAUUUCCAAUAAAACCAUCAAGGCCUUGCAAUGACUGUAAAACAAAUGUCACCUACAGGUUAUGAUGGUGAUUCUUUUCUGAGCUGCUAUUGCAUUCCCACGGAAUAGUUUUGCAUACGCUCGCAAUACUUUUGUGUUCCUCCUACUGCUUGUGAAAGGGGACACCUAUGUGUUGUCUUGCAAUUAUAGUCCGCAAGUUUGAUAGACCCAUCAACAUAAUCAAUUUCUUUUGAUGUCUGUUGCAUUUGAUCUCCCACACAAACCCACCAUCUGCACACAACUGGGCAGCACUAUGGUCACAUCACUAUGUGAUCACCCUAACCCCCAUUUGAGGACAAGAAGACUUGCCAUUUCUGUUCCUCUUUCUCUUCCUGUUUUAUAUGGGUGGUUCAGUUUCAGUGAAGAUCAUAUGGACAGGAAACAAAUGAAAGGUGUUAUUACUGGUCAAGAGUAUAACUAGAGAUUUCCCAGUAAAAUUGCUUGACAACAUCAUUACACAGUGAUUGGGUGAAGUAGUAAGUAGCAAGGAACAUGAUCAGAGGAUUUCUCUUUCUCUCUUUCGUGGUUUCCACGGCAGCUUUCAGUGUUUUGAAAGAUGCCGUGUAUCAUUGUGCAAAUGGUCAAGAAACAACUCAGUCCAGUGAUGGCUUUGCAAAAUUCUUGGGGUGCGACCUGAAGAAUGAUUAUUUCAUCUUCGCAGGUUAAGUACACUCAAGUUGUGCAUUUUUCAGUAUCAGAUGAUCAUAACUUCCUUGCUUGUACAGAACACAUUUAACCUUUUGACUCAUUGUGCUGCAGAGGACAACUUAAAGGGCUCCCAACCAUUGGGGCCAAUGGUGAAUUAACUGAAACGCCCCGCCAUCUCCUUAUAAGGGCAUGCAACUGAAGAGACGUGUGUGCACAAUCCAAAGGCAACAGGAAAGCAACUUCAGACUGAUCAAAAUCAUGUCAAAGCGGAAAGCAAGCACCGGUCGAGUAAACGCAUACCUAAC